Molecule: ribosomal RNA, 440 nt
Filed under: uncultured bacterium
Lineage: Bacteria
Description: partial 16S ribosomal RNA
Rfam family: Bacterial small subunit ribosomal RNA
Source: RNAcentral
CUACGGGCUGCUGCAGUGAGGAAUAUUGCACAAUGGAGGAAACUCUGAUGCAGCAACGCCGCGUGGAGGAUGACGCAUUUCGGUGUGUAAACUCCUUUUAUAUGUCAAGAAAAUGACGGUAGCAUAUGAAUAAGCUCCGGCUAACUCCGUGCCAGGCAGCCGCGGUAAUACGGAGGGAGCAAGCGUUACUCGGAAUCACUGGGCGUAAAGGACGCGUGGGCGGGAUAGAAAGUCAGGUGUGAAAUCCUAUGGCUCAACCAUAGAACUGCACUUGAAACUUCUAACCUAGAGUAUGGGAGGGGAAGAUGGAAUUAGUGGUGUAGGGGUAAAAUCCGUAGAUAUCACUAGGAAUACCAAAAGCGAAGGCGAUCUUCUGGAACAAUACUGACGCUAAGGCGUGAAAGCGUGGGGAGCAAACAGGAUUAGAUACCCGGGUAGUC